GACGAACGCUGGCGGCGUGCUUAACACAUGCAAGUCGAACGGAAAGGCCCUGCUUUUGUGGGGUGCUCGAGUGGCGAACGGGUGAGUAACACGAGAGUAACCUGCCCUUGACUUUGGUAUAACUUCAGGAAACUGGGGCUAAUACCGGAUAGGAGCUCCUGCUGCAUGGUGGGGGUUGGAAAGUUUCGGCGGUUGGGGAUGGACUCGCGGCUUGUGAGCUUGUUGGUGGGGUAGGGGCUGACCAAGGCUUUGACGGGUAGCCGGCCUGAGAGGGUGACCGGCGACAUUGGGACUGAGAUAGGGCCCAGACGCCUACGGGAGGGAGCAGUGGGGAAUAUGGUACAGUGGGCGGGAGCCUGAUGCGGCGGCGCCGGGUGCGGGAUGACGGCCUUCGGGUUGUAAACCGCUUUCGCCUGUGACGAAGCGUGAGUGACGGUAAUGGGUAAAGAAGCACCGGCUAACUACGUG
Molecule: ribosomal RNA, 468 nt
Filed under: uncultured bacterium
Lineage: Bacteria
Description: partial 16S ribosomal RNA
Rfam family: Bacterial small subunit ribosomal RNA
Source: RNAcentral